UAAAACUGAGGAGCAGCCAGCAGAUGAGGACCAGGGUGUCUAUCCUCUUGGAAGUGCCAGAAGAUUCUGCUUUUUAAAAUUUAAGCUCAAGAAGAUCCUUGGGAUGCUCUUGCAGAAACUCAUGCAAAAGUUUGGAAUGCGUCGCUGGGAGGUGCGUGCCAGGUGCUGAUAAACGGUAUAAAUUCAGCUGCAGCUGAAGAGGGACGAGAUAACCACAUGCUCUGGGACCUCGAAGUCUGUCAUUACCCUUGUGCUUUGCCUCAAUUGCUUUUCCUUCUCUGAUAAACUCCUUGCAGAUAAA
Molecule: long non-coding RNA, 301 nt
Filed under: Rattus norvegicus (Norway rat)
Lineage: Eukaryota; Metazoa; Chordata; Mammalia; Rodentia; Muridae
Description: long non-coding RNA NONRATT011646
Source: RNAcentral